UACAGAGGGUGCGAGCGUUGUCCGGAAUCACUGGGCGUAAAGGGCGCGUAGGUGGUGGCUUAAGCGUGCGGUGAAGGCUCGGGGCUCAACCCCGAGUCGGCCGUGCGAACUGGGCUCACUGGAGCAUAGUAGAGGCAGGUGGAAUUCCGGGUGUAGCGGUGGAAUGCGUAGAGAUCCGGAAGAACACCGGUGGCGAAGGCGGCCUGCUGGGCUAUGGCUGACACUGAGGCGCGACAGCGUGGGGAGCAAACAGG
This 254-nucleotide ribosomal RNA is filed under the name uncultured bacterium. RNAcentral describes it as "partial 16S ribosomal RNA". It matches the Rfam family "Bacterial small subunit ribosomal RNA", at positions 524 to 776 of the family's 1533-position model. The record is from RNAcentral.